GGAUGUUCCAACUAUAUGUCCCCAUUCAAAUGCAUUGAUCGGCAAAAAGAAUGGGGGUUCCAACCCCUGGAAUAGGAUCCGCCAAUGAGAAGACUGUGACUCAGUCAGAAAAAGGUUCACAACAAAGUAUUUAUUUUUUGUGCAACGUUCAUGAAAUAAUGUCUUAUUUCACGUUUUUUAUGUGCAAGCACCCCCCUUACCACCCACUGCACACUUAGUGACCUACCCUUAUCCUAGUCCAAAUAAUUAUGAGUCUUGAAAGGCUAAAUAAUUUUUUUUCUUUGUAUAAUAGCCUUUCAAGACAUCAUAAUUAUUUGGGCUAUCCUUAUCUUAUCCCAUCCCAUCCCAUCCCAUUCCCCCCCC
RNAcentral lists this long non-coding RNA (363 nucleotides) under Mytilus galloprovincialis (Mediterranean mussel). Lineage: Eukaryota; Metazoa; Mollusca; Bivalvia; Mytilida; Mytilidae. The record is from RNAcentral.